GUGCUCUCAGAAUAAACACGAGACUCUGUUACUGCCAAGGCGACUGGUCGGUGCACAGCUUCUCUAUGGACUAUCUGCCUUCACUCGCUCAGCUUCGCACCCAUCCUGUUUGAAAUGCAUGUGUUUGCCUAAGGGAGCCAUGUCCUUGCCUGGCUGUCUUCUCUAGGAGCUCAAUUCAGCUAUGCCUUCUCCAGGAAGUCUGGCACCUUCACCAACUGAUGCAAGUCUUUCAGAACCACCCACUUCUCUUGUGGCCUUGUGCACAGUUUGCUUUACUUCCCCCUGGUGAGCACAUGCGGAGUGUUUUCUCUCCCUUUUCCACUAAGAGUCUCCCGCCCCCUGCCCCAAACCAGGUAUUGUCUGUUUCUUGCUGACUGUUGUCUCCGCCAUUGCCUUGCUAGCACUGCCACAGAGUAGGUAUGGACAGGAGUGUCACUGAAUGGACAGGAGGUGAAGAAUAACAGGCCAGAGGAUCUGACAUCAAAAGGCAGGAUAGGGAUUAAAAUAAGAGGUAGAGUGGAGAUGGAUUCGAAGAAGUCCUCUACUCGAGGAGCUACUGAUACGGGAAGAGGAAAGCAGGUUUCUUUGCUGUGCUUCCUUCCAACCACCCUUUUUAUUUAUUCUUG
This 626-nucleotide long non-coding RNA is filed under the name Mus pahari (shrew mouse). RNAcentral describes it as "predicted gene 15818 (MGP_PahariEiJ_G0003112.1)". The record is from RNAcentral. Lineage: Eukaryota; Metazoa; Chordata; Mammalia; Rodentia; Muridae.